GGAAACUAUUAGAACGGUUUUCCCACUGAGAUUGCUGCAUGUUUAGUGGCUGUAACAUUACCUUCCCUUUCCUCACCCGCUGAAGCAAACAACGAUAUUCAGACCCAGGCUUUUUCACAUUGUGUCCUUCCCAGUAUCGCUGAUGCUGUAGAGCUCCCUGGCACAUGGAGUACAAAAAGCCUGAGUUCCUCUGUCUGUAGCUGACUGGCAGGCACAGGGAACCUGUAGGGCUUGUACUUUCCUGAUGCGCAAUUAGAGCCAGUGGGCUGGAAACAGAUGGUUAUGCUAUGGUAAAAUUACUGGCGUAAGAUGUAAACAGUUCCAUCCAAGCUAUAUUUUGUUUCUGUGCGCAGAGGCAAAAAGGAAAAACUGGGAUAGAGCCCAAACUGGGUUGGUUUGCAGCAUUCUCAAGGAUUUUCUCCAGCGCAAUUGCACCUAGGCAGUGGCUCUGUGCAGGUUUUGGGGAGGAAGGGAAGUGGGGUAUUUACUCAGAGAUGAAAGCCUUCUUUCAUCUAUUCUGCAGAUAUUCAAAGGAAGGCUCGUGCUUUCAGGGGGAAGCUGUUGCUCCUCAAGAGAAGGACAGCAUUGCCAAGCAGGAUAUGGUGCUGCAUUGGGAGUUACAAAUGUUGCUGUCUCAGACUCAGAACAGAGCCUGAAGGAAAGUUAAAAAUUCAGUAAUUCCAAGAAACGAGGGGGAUGUUGCACUGUCACAGCAAGCCCUGCAGAUCCAUGCAGGUCUCCAGCCCACCAGUCCCUUCUUACCUUCAGCCACCAGAACUCAGGCUUACACACUGCAAUUUAUAUUGAUUUUUCUCACCCUGAACUGUUGCUAAUGAAAGGGGCUGGAAAACCUGGGCCACCCAAGGAUUCUGUGUCCAAGAUCAAAGUUCAGCAUUCAGUUGCAGAUGAGCAGACAGCUGGGGGUCUCCACACCAUUCACCUGUCCUUUGCAUCCACAGCAAAUUUCUCAGCAACUCAGGCCCUUGACUUGGUAUCAUCUCUUGCAAGCAAAGGAAAGAUCUCUUUGAAGUAGUCAUUUCUUUUUCUCCCCUCUAAAAAGCAAACUUACUUUUCCAGAAAUAGAACAUUGCCCUCUGUAAACUUUUUGUUUGUUUGUUUCGCUCUUUGCUUCUUUUUCUUUCUUUCUCAUGAGUUUGGGACAAAUUUUUACAGUUGUCCUCAGAUUUGAAACAGCUGUUGCCACACUGUGCUUUUUGUCAUCUUUCAGAGGUUGUUGGAACAUUAUUUUUACAUAAAUAUUUACUAAAUUUAAUGGUGGUUUAAAAGAGAAAAGGAUGCUUGCUGAGUAUUUCUAUUUUUCUCCUUCUCAUAUUUAUCUGGUGCUUGCCCAACCAACACUUUCCCAAAGCAUGAGAAUUGGUCCCUGUGAUGAAUCACCCUGUCUAACAAGGCUCAAAAGCCCUUCUAUGCCAUUAAAUCAGCCUGAUGAUCCAGAUUUCCUGAUAUAUUGUUCUGUGCUUCAGCUGAAAAUAGGUGAAGUCAAUAAAGUUAACCCAGACCUCCUGCAUAAGAAAAGGUGAUGUGGGGGAUGGAGAUGAAAUUGUUCACACUCAUGGCACUGCAGCACAAAUCUGGAAGGUUUCUAAUUCUUAUCUUACUACCUUUAUGAGUGUGCCUGAAACCAGACUGCCGCGACUGCCCACUUUCAGCACAGCAGAGCUUGUGGCUGCUUUGGCACCCAGGUUUAUUCUUCUUGUGCCUCGAAUUGCAGAGGAAUGGAA
Anas platyrhynchos (mallard) is the source of this 1742-nucleotide long non-coding RNA. RefSeq lists it as uncharacterized. NCBI's taxonomy places the organism in Eukaryota, Metazoa, Chordata, Aves, Anseriformes, Anatidae. The record is from RefSeq and is a predicted model, not a curated record.